This 375-nucleotide ribosomal RNA is filed under the name uncultured myxomycete. RNAcentral's name for it is "SSU rRNA". It matches the Rfam family "Eukaryotic small subunit ribosomal RNA", at positions 76 to 405 of the family's 1831-position model. The record is from RNAcentral. Lineage: Eukaryota; Evosea; Eumycetozoa.
UCUCUCUGAAUCUGCGAACGGCUCCGCAAACCAGUUGUAAACUAUAGCAAGCAAUCCUGCGGGCGGCUUCGGCUGCUCGUGGGUAACAUGGAUAACCCUGGUAAUUCUGAGGCUAAUACAAGAACGUACUUCCUGGCUGACCGGCAACGGAAGGCUGGGGAGCGUGCAACGUAUCGUAGGGAUAAACCGGGAAUGGGUGCACGCUUGGACCGCGCUAAAGACAGAUCUCGGCGAGCCUUCGGGUGAGCCUUGGCCUGAGCGGCUCUUGCUGUGUGCUUCUGACCUAUCAACUAGACGGCAGCUUAAGGGACAUGCUAUGGUUACAACGGGUACAGAGGAUUAGGGUUCGAUCCUGGAGAGUGGGCCUGAGAGAUU